Molecule: ribosomal RNA, 468 nt
Filed under: uncultured bacterium
Lineage: Bacteria
Description: partial 16S ribosomal RNA
Rfam family: Bacterial small subunit ribosomal RNA
Source: RNAcentral
GACGAACGCUGGCGGCGUGCUUAACACAUGCAAGUCGAACGGAAAGGCCCUGCUUUUGUGGGGUGCUCGAGUGGCGAAAGGGUGAGUAACACGUGAGUAACCUGCCCUUGACUUUGGGAUAACUUCAGGAAACUGGGGCUAAUACCGGAUAGGAGCUCCUGCUGCAUGGUGGGGGUUGGAAAGUUUCGGCGGUUGGGGAUGGACUCGCGGCUUAUCAGCUUGUUGGUGGGGUAGUGGCUUACCAAGGCUUUGACGGGUAGCCGGGCUGAGAGGGUGACCGGCCAGAUUGGGACUGGGAUAAGGCACGGACCCCUACGGGAGGCAGCAGUGGGGAAUAUUGCACAAUGGGCGGAAGCCUAAUGCAGCAACGCCGCGUGCGGUAUGACGGCCUUCGGGUUGUAAACCGCUUUCGCCUGUGACGAAGCGUGAGUGACGGUAAUGGGUAAAGAAGCACCGGCUAACUACGUG